GUGGUGACGUAGGGGUGGUGUAGUGGUGGGGUUUGGGUGGUGUAGUGAUGUGGUGAUGUAGGGAUGGUGUAGUGGUGGGGUUUGGGUGGUGUAGUGAUGGGUGGGGUUGUAGUGGAGGUAGAGGGGUGUGGGUGGUGUAGGGAUGGGAUACGGGUGGUGUUACCAUCAGGCCCUCCACGAUGGUGAAGUUGUCGUUGAUGACCUUGGCGAGGGGUGCCAGGCAGUUGGUGGUGCAGGA
Long non-coding RNA from Gadus macrocephalus (Pacific cod), 238 nucleotides. RefSeq lists it as uncharacterized. NCBI's taxonomy places the organism in Eukaryota, Metazoa, Chordata, Actinopteri, Gadiformes, Gadidae. The record is from RefSeq and is a predicted model, not a curated record. The transcript is spliced from 2 exons.